This 253-nucleotide ribosomal RNA is filed under the name uncultured bacterium. RNAcentral's name for it is "partial 16S ribosomal RNA". It matches the Rfam family "Bacterial small subunit ribosomal RNA", at positions 524 to 776 of the family's 1533-position model. The record is from RNAcentral.
UACGUAGGGUGCAAGCGUUAUCCGGAAUUAUUGGGCGUAAAGAGCUCGUAGGCGGUUUGUCGCGUCUGCUGUGAAAACUGGGGGCUCAACCCCCAGCCUGCAGUGGGUACGGGCAGACUAGAGUGCGGUAGGGGAGAUUGGAAUUCCUGGUGUAGCGGUGGAAUGCGCAGAUAUCAGGAGGAACACCGAUGGCGAAGGCAGAUCUCUGGGCCGUAACUGACGCUGAGGCACGAAAGCGUGGGUAGCAAACAGG